RNAcentral lists this ribosomal RNA (498 nucleotides) under uncultured bacterium. RNAcentral describes it as "partial 16S ribosomal RNA". It matches the Rfam family "Bacterial small subunit ribosomal RNA", at positions 30 to 523 of the family's 1533-position model. The record is from RNAcentral.
AUUGAACGCUGGCGGCAUGCCUUACACAUGCAAGUCGAACGGUAACAGGUCUUCGGAUGCUGACGAGUGGCGAACGGGUGAGUAGUACAUCGGAACGUGCCUAGUAGUGGGGGAUAACUACUCGAAAGAGUGGCUAAUACCGCAUGAGAUCUACGGAUGAAAGCAGGGGAUCGCAAGACCUUGUGCUACUAGAGCGGCCGAUGGCAGAUUAGGUAGUUGGUGGGAUAAAAGCUUACCAAGCCGACGAUCUGUAGCUGGUCUGAGAGGACGAUCAGCAACACUGGGACUGAGAAACGGCCCAGACUCCUACGGGAGGCAGCAGUGGGGAAUUUUGGACAAUGGGCGCAAGCCUGAUCCAGCAAUGCCGCGUGCAGGAUGAAGGCCUUCGGGUUGUAAACUGCUUUUGUACGGAACGAAAAGCCCCGGGUUAAUACCCUGGGGUCAUGACGGUACCGUAAGAAUAAGCACCGGCUAACUACGUGCCAGCCGCCGCCGUAA